Molecule: long non-coding RNA, 3162 nt
Organism: Etheostoma spectabile (orangethroat darter)
Lineage: Eukaryota; Metazoa; Chordata; Actinopteri; Perciformes; Percidae
Exons: 2
Source: RefSeq, a predicted model, not a curated record
AAGGAAGAGUGGCAGGUAUCACAAGAACAAGAUCCUCUGGACCUUUGUGUGUGGUCGUGGAAUUUAAGACUUGAUCUACCACGGAGCGGAGGCGGGAAAAUCAAGGAUGGGUUCUGUUUUUUUGGAGAACGGAGUGCAUAACCCUAGAGGGAAGGGCGAUAGGAGUACACCUGAUUAGUGCACUUGUCUUCACCUCAAUCCCUCAUAAGCACUCGCACCCUGCCCUCACCAACUCACCUAUGCACUUUUGUUCAUUCAAGCUGUGAGGUACCAUUUUUGGGGAUGGGAGCACAAUUACAACAGGAGGAUUGCUAUGACUUAUGACAAAGUCACUGAAAAGAUAUUCCCAAACUGAAAAUAAGAGACUCGGGAAUCUCGUCUUCUCCCACCUCCUGUAUAUAACCAUAUUUUUGUAUUAUCUUUCAGAGUAGAAAGACAAAUUUGCAAAUGGAUGAAGGAAAAUUCAUGAGACGAUGAUAAUACGGAGUGAAUGUUCUUCAAGAAAACCAAUCUUUUGAAUAUAGUUUGCGAUUGACUCGCUGUAAGUUUCCCUUAUUUUGCUCGUAACCCUGAAAUAAUCUGGGAUAGAAGAGGGUAAAAAAAAAAAAAAUACCAUGGACUGAGGUGUUGGACAUGCUGCAGUGGCUCCAAGACUGACUGAUGAUUAUCAAAAUGGAUGCUGCAGUCGCUACAAAGAGCUUAUGCCAAGAGUGUUUGCACAGUGAAGAGGCAGCCAUGGGUCUGAAGAGCUGCUGGUGAGGAUGCUUCUACUUUGUGCCCCAACCCGAUGACUGCCUUGAGAGCUGUAGAGUGACUGAAGGAAGAAAAAUCUUUGGCAAUGGAGUCUGGCUGUGCUUUAUUUGCUGCCCUCUGCAUGGAGGAUCUAAUCUACAGCCAACCCAUGAACCAGUUAUCCCUAAACCUGUCCUUUUGAACUUAAAUCCUAAGAAACUUUUCUGUCUUGACCUCGGACUGGGCAGGCCAUUGGCAUUAUCAGUUGGACAGUUACCGGAUGAAGUUGCAGGUUUAUCGACCAUGGAGCCCAUCUGUGUUGGAAGUGUAAGGUUUAGGAUUUGAUCGGGCACUCUCCAGCGAGAACAAGAAUAAAGAAGCACGUAUUGCCCAGAUGUCAUCACCCACCUCGGCCUGAAACACUCAGGUGGUUGCGUGAAGGUCUUCUAACCAGCGGGACAGAAGACCUGCCCAGACGUCAGACCGAGAGCUGUGUAGGGUUUCAAUGGACGUGGCUGGAUUACAUCUUAGUCACCAGAAAUCCCUGCAGCCGUGGAACUGGAUGAACUGAAAUAAUUGUACAAAACAAAGACUUUGAAACAUCAACAAAACACGAAUACGUAGCUACAUGUCACAUAGAUUCUAGAGUUGCAGACACACUACAUGCACACCUACAGCAAAAGCAACGGACACCCGGUAACAGUGGCUCUCCUCUGGAACCACAUCUUCACACAUAACGGGGCUACGUCGAUAUCAAAUCAUACACAUUACAGACAGACACACAAGCAUCGUCGCUCACCAAUAUAAACGCUGAGCUUUGUAAAUGUAAAAGUUUGUGUUUUGAUUUUUCUCAUAGUGGUUUUGAUUUAUUUCUCUGUUCAACAUGCCUUAAAUUGUAUAGUGCAGUCCUGAACGGCUAACUGAAAAUGUUUAAGUUGGAAACCACCUCCUUAACUGUCCUCUAAAUUCAAUGAAAGAAAUUAGCUUUCUACAAGACUGUUUACUGUUGGCAGUCUGUUCUGUAUUAACUUGAUGCGUGUACUUCUGAUCACCAUGAACGUUACUAUUUCGCUACAGAAUAGAGCAGCAAGCAGUCUUUAAUUAAUCUGAUUUUGCUGGUGGUUAGCUUUUGUUGCCCUUUUGGUUUCCUUAAAAUGAAGAGUGGAUGUGUUCGAAUUUCCUGUUUAGAUUAUUGCUGAAGGUGCAGGCUUAAUAAAGGGCUGAAGUCUGUACUGUCUGGAGCUGAGCUGACAGGGUGGGAUGCACAGAAUUGGCUUAAAGCACCGACUUGUUGUUGUGUGCUAACUAUUGUUGGAUAUCCUGCUCUAGGCAAAACUGAACCAGAGUGGCGGGUCGUCCUCAAAGAGAUACAAGUUGGGGCUUUUUGGUAAAAGUUUUUACACUCCGGUGGACUUAAAUGUUUUGGAUCAGCUAGGUACUUUUUUACAGUUUAAGAUGUGAAAUCAGGCUUGUAGGAGGCAAAAUUGUUAGAGCAAGCUUGCAUGAUUUGUAAUAUUUGUGGGUUCUGACACUAAACCUUAAGGCGGGUCACAACUUGGCCCAGAUUGCUUUAGCUCUGUCUGUGCGCCGGGUAGUGCUGCUGACCAUGUCUGAUGGCGCUGAAUUGAUUAAGAAUUGUCUGAUCAGUUGUGUUAUCUGAAAGGAAAUUCUAUGUUCAGAAAAUUUGGCAAGUGUAUUGUUCCUUGUAUGUAUAUCUAAUUGGAUUGGAGAGAUUUGUGCUUUUAGUCAACCUGUAUUUUUUUUUUUGUGUCCUCAAUAACUAAACAAUAUGUUUUUAAAUCAAAUGACAAUUGAUGUACAUUGAAUACCUUCAACUUAGACUUGUGAUAUAAUUAGCUGAGGUUUUGGUGGAUAGUUAUCUCCUAUAGCCACAGUAGGCAUACUAAAGGGUUCAGCUGCCAAAUCAAAGAAAUUGACUUUAAUCAUAAGAUAAUACUAUCAAGUCUCUUAUUUGUGAAUGACUUUAAAAAAUACUAAUGUUUGACAUUUUUAAAAACCGAUAUUGUGCGGUAUUAGUUGUUGGUCAGUCAGUCAGUCUGUCUACAAAAAGUCAAACAAGGUUGUUUGCACUAUGCAAGCUUUUAUGGUUAGAUAAACUGCAAUAUUGUGUUGUCAAAAAGCCCUGGAUUGGUUUCAUCCUUUGAAAGAUCCUGUCACGGCCUGCCCACUUAACGUCAUGAAUUUGGUCAUCUGGUUUCUUUGAACUCUGGUAACUAUAAUUUCAAAAAUAUUGGCUUAAAAGAUAUGAUUUUUUUUUUUCUCCCCCUAGUCAACUCAGCUCCUGUGCUUAAAAAGUCUUUGAAUGUUGUUAAAAUAGCAGCAUACAUGUAAGAGAUUUGGAAAAGAACAAUUGAAAGAUGUGUAAAUAGUUUGGCUUUUGUUUGAAGAACAAAAUAAAUACUAAAUAAA